GACGAACGCUGGCGGCGUGCCUAAUACAUGCAAGUUGAGCGCUGAAGGUUGGUACUUGUACCAACUGGAUGAGCAGCGAACGGGUGAGUAACGCGUGGGGAAUCUGCCUUUGAGCGGGGGACAACAUUUGGAAACGAAUGCUAAUACCGCAUAAAAACUUUAAACACAAGUUUUAAGUUUGAAAGAUGCAAUUGCAUCACUCAAAGAUGAUCCCGCGUUGUAUUAGCUAGUUGGUGAGGUAAAGGCUCACCAAGGCGAUGAUACAUAGCCGACCUGGGAGGGUGAUCGGCCACAUUGGGACUGAGACACGGCCCAAACUCCUACGGGAGGCAGCAGUAGGGAGUCUUCGGCAAUGGACGAAAGUCUGACCGAGCAACGCCGCGUGAGUGAAGAAGGUUUUCGGAUCGUAAAACUCUGUUGGUAGAGAAGAACGUUGGUGAGAGUGGAAAGCUCAUCAAGUGACGGUAACUACCCAGAAAGGGACGGCUAACUACGUG
This 497-nucleotide ribosomal RNA is filed under the name uncultured bacterium. RNAcentral's name for it is "partial 16S ribosomal RNA". It matches the Rfam family "Bacterial small subunit ribosomal RNA", at positions 28 to 507 of the family's 1533-position model. The record is from RNAcentral.